RNAcentral lists this ribosomal RNA (196 nucleotides) under uncultured bacterium. Its description in RNAcentral is "partial 16S ribosomal RNA". It matches the Rfam family "Bacterial small subunit ribosomal RNA", at positions 328 to 539 of the family's 1533-position model. The record is from RNAcentral.
ACGCUCGACACCUACGGGGGCAGCAGUGGGGAAUAUUGCACAAUGGGGAAACCCUGAUGCAGCGACGCCGCGUGAAGGAAGAAGUAUUUCGGUAUGUAAACUUCUAUCAGCAGGGAAGAAAAUGACGGUACCUGACUAAGAAGCCCCGGCUAACUACGUGCUAGCAGCCGCGGUAAUCUGAGCGGGCUGGCAAGGC